AAAGAUUCCACACUCAAAAAUUCAAUAGGUUUCUCUUUCUUCUUCUUCUUGGAGUUGAAAAUGUUAAGAUCUCAGAAGGACGACGCCUAUUAAUGAACAAUCUUAUUCUUCAUCGUCAUCAUCAUCAGCAACUCGACAGGCAACCUAGUGGAUUUAUGGGAGAUGCUGUUAAGUUUUAAAAGAUUGUGGAAAAGGUUUGAGGAAUGGGUUUCGAUCCUUUACGUAGGACGUUUCUCGAAGCUUUAGAAGGAUUGACAUCAAUGAAUUAAGCCUCUUGGAAAACAAAAGUGGUCGUUUACAAGAGAUGGGGUUAGUCUGAAGACUAAAUUCAAGCAGCAUUCAGGAAGCCGCCUUAUUGUAUGAAGGCUUCUAAGCUCCUGCAUUGAUGAAAGUGUUCCAAGGUCAAUUAAGUUACCAAGAGCUACUUCUGAUUUGAUGAGAUGCAUAUGUGGUACCUAUGCUCAGACCCAUCAAAUUGCUGCUAGAAAAGAGAGACAGAUGGAGUCAUUGAGGGCUGCUCUUGGGAGUAAAUUAAACUUCUUUACUACAGGAAGAAAGGAAACUGGAUACAGUGCUGGAAUCUGACUCUGAAUUACUUGAAGGAUAGAUGCCAAACAAAAACUUGAUGGAGACUAAUGAGCAUAGCAAACAUGAGAAAGAUGGUCCUAAGAAGGCUGAGAAGAAAAAAGAUUUGAGGAAGAAACUCCGAAAAAGUAGGCAGGACUGUGAUUCUGAAAAUUCCGAAACUGUUUUAAGUGUUGAGCAAGGAGAAGAUUUCAAGUGCUAAGAAAAGCUCCCAGCAUGAUACUGAUGAUUCUGGUUCCGAAAUCGAUGAUGUUGGCAAAAGAAAUAGCAAAACCAAACCACACGUAAUGUCAGCUAAAACUCAUCGAAGUCGUCAUGUGGAUGAGGAUGGAAAAACACCCCUAUAUUUAGCUGCGGAUUUGAUGAGAUGCAUAUGUGGUACCGAAGAAGAAAUUGAAUAAAAUAUCAGAAGACAGAGUACAACGGGAUUGUGGUACAGACAGCAUGAGGAUCAGGAACAAACACUUAUGUACAAACAAACUAAUCCCUUGUAUGACCAAAAAAGACUGGGAAUAUAGAAGCAAAAGCAUUUGAAGGUGAUCAAGGAACUGGUGGUGUUAAAAGAGCAAACAAAGAUAUUCAUGAACAUGAUAGAAAACGUCAGAUUCAACUUCAAUUGGUUUUUUUAGAAGAUAAAUUGAUCGAACAAGGUUAUAUUCAUGAUGAGAUUUCUCAAAAGCUUCAUGAAGGAAGGAAAUUAUUCGAAGAAGAAGAUGAAGAAUCCCAAAGAACAAACAACAAUCAGAGGCUUCAGAUACUAGAAAGGAGAGACAGAUCAAAUUGCUGCUAGAAAGGAGAGACAGAACAUUAAGGGCUGCUCUUGGGAGUAAAUUAGGUUGAUGAAACUUCUUUACUCCAGGAAGAAAGGAAACUGGAAACAGUGCUGGAAUCUGAUUCUGAAUUAAGUGAAGGAGAGAUGCCAAAUAAAGAGUUGAUAGAGAAAGAUGAGCCAUGCAAACAUGAGAAAAAUGGUCCUAAGAAGGCUGCGAAGAAAAAAGAUUGCAGUAGCAGGAGAGUAGCGAGAAGUCAUGACACCAUGGAAAGAGGGUAGUUCUUUUGAUACUGAUAAUAGUUCAAAACGUGGAAAAGGUUUGAGGAAGAAACAUUGAAAAGUAGGCAGUACAGUGAUUCUGAAAAUUCUGAAAACGGUUUAUGAUAAGCGCAAGGAGAAAAUUUUAAGUGUUAAGAAAAGCUCCCAGCAUGACAGUGAUGAUUCAGGUUUCGAAAGUGAUGAUGUUGGCAAAAGAAAUAGCAAAACCAAACCAGAUGUAAAGAAAUCAGCUAAAACUCAUUAAAGUCAUCAUUUGGAUGAAAAGAGACAGAAAUUCCAAUUGCAAACACAGCAAAAGCCAUGAUUCUGAUUCUGGCAAGGGACAGAAACAUGCUAGUGAAACUACUCACUGAGGACUUGGAGAUGAAUAAGGAAACAUAAAGCUUGGAAGGGGUGAAGAGGAGCUUGGUGGCAGAGAUGAGGAAGAAAAGUACACAAGCAGAAAGCAUGCGAGAACUGAAGAAAAAAACAUUCUACCAAACAUGAGAGUGAGGUGGGAAAAUGCAUGAGAGGAUGGAAGAGGAUCUCUGAGGCAGAAAUCGUGGAAGAGAUGAGGAAGUACGUGGAAAUAGAAGAAUUGGAGAAGAGGAAGAGCAGUGAAGUAGGAGGCAUGAAAAGGAUGAAUGCAGUUCGUGAAGUGGAAGAGAUGAAAGAAGAAGAAAGAAGAAGAAAGAAGAAGUUCCAGGGAUGGAAGAGGCAGAGACAUGGAUGCUAAAAGGGGUCAGUUUGAUGAUUAUUCUCGACCGAGGGGAAGAAAUGUAUUAAAGAACAAAAACGAUGCUGAUCAGCCAAGGAGGCAUGAGCGCGUGACUAGUUUUUCUGUGAUUUGAAUUUUUGCAAACUUGCCAGCAGUGCAACUUUUGAGCCUAGAUUUUAAGUCAUGACAGGGGAUUAUCCCAGAUGAUUUUUUUUUUUUGUUUCCAACUCUUUGUAAAAGUGUUUUGCUGUUGGAAUUAUACAGUUGAGGUACAUGAACCCAUUGGUUCAGCUUGGUUAGUUUCUGGUGCCCGCAUAUAUGGUUAAUGUUUCAUUUA
This is a long non-coding RNA of Papaver somniferum (opium poppy), 2670 nucleotides long. RefSeq lists it as uncharacterized. The transcript has 5 exons. The record is from RefSeq and is a predicted model, not a curated record. NCBI's taxonomy places the organism in Eukaryota, Viridiplantae, Streptophyta, Magnoliopsida, Ranunculales, Papaveraceae.